RNAcentral lists this unclassified non-coding RNA (208 nucleotides) under Hevea brasiliensis (rubber tree). Lineage: Eukaryota; Viridiplantae; Streptophyta; Magnoliopsida; Malpighiales; Euphorbiaceae. The record is from RNAcentral.
UCGCCUCUAGGCCUUGACUCAGUCCCUUAUACCUUUCGGGUCUUUUUUAGCUGAAAACAAAAUUUAUAGUGUUUCAGUAUCUUAUUUCACCAUAUAUCCAACAAUUAAUUCAUAAAUACUUAAUUCUAGCCCAAAUAUGCUUAAACUAACAUUCUUGGAAAUUUUCAUUUUGGAGUUACUAUUUAUGAUACUAUUCAAGUCAAUUUGU